GGUUUCUUGAAUUAAAUAGGAGAUUUGGCCUGCCCACUGAAAUUAAGAUUGAAGGGCCGCGGUAUUUUGACUGUGCAAAGGUAGCAUAAUCAUUAGUCUUUUAAUUGGAGGCUUGUAUGAAUGGUUGGACGAAGCAAAGACUGUCUUGAGUUUAUUAAAGUUGAAUUUAAAUUUUAAGUGAAAAUGCUUAAAUAAAAUAAAGGGACGAGAAGACCCUAUAGAGUUUAAUAAAUAGGUGUAAUAAUUAAGUUAAGAAGAAAUUUUUUUAAUUGUUAAUUGAUUUAUUGGGUUGGGGUGAUUAGAAAAUAUGAUAAACUUUUCUUUAUUUUUAAUUUUUUAAGAAAUAUUAAGAUCCAUAAAUAGUGAUUAGAAGAGUAAAUUACCUUAGGGAUAACAGCAUAAUUUUUUUUGAAAGUUCAUAUUGAAAGAAAAGAUUAUGACCUCGAUGUUGGAUUAAGAUAAACAUUGGGCGCAGAAGUUUAUAUGUAAG
This 490-nucleotide ribosomal RNA is filed under the name Humbertiella ocularis. RNAcentral's name for it is "partial 16S ribosomal RNA". Lineage: Eukaryota; Metazoa; Arthropoda; Insecta; Mantodea; Gonypetidae. The record is from RNAcentral.